This 74-nucleotide transfer RNA is filed under the name Dermacentor silvarum. Its description in RNAcentral is "transfer RNA valine (anticodon UAC)". The record is from RNAcentral. Lineage: Eukaryota; Metazoa; Arthropoda; Arachnida; Ixodida; Ixodidae.
GUUCCCGUGGUGUAGUGGUUAUCACGUGCGCCUUACACGCGCAAGCUCCCCGGUUCGAUCCCGGGCUGGGAACA